GCCCCUAUGGCCCAAUGGAUAAGGCGUCGGACUUCUAAUCCGAAGAUUCCGGGUUCGACCCCCGGUAGGGGUG
Conidiobolus coronatus NRRL 28638 is the source of this 73-nucleotide transfer RNA. It matches the Rfam family "tRNA". From Rfam's summary of the family: Transfer RNA (tRNA) molecules are approximately 80 nucleotides in length. Their secondary structure includes four short double-helical elements and three loops (D, anti-codon, and T loops). Further hydrogen bonds mediate the characteristic L-shaped molecular structure. tRNAs have two regions of fundamental functional importance: the anti-codon, which is responsible for specific mRNA codon recognition, and the 3' end, to which the tRNAs corresponding amino acid is attached (by aminoacyl-tRNA synthetases). tRNAs cope with the degeneracy of the genetic code in two manners: having more than one tRNA (with a specific anti-codon) for a particular amino acid; and 'wobble' base-pairing, i.e. permitting non-standard base-pairing at the 3rd anti-codon position. The record is from Rfam. Lineage: Eukaryota; Fungi; Entomophthoromycota; Entomophthoromycetes; Entomophthorales; Conidiobolaceae.